Molecule: ribosomal RNA, 522 nt
Rfam family: Bacterial large subunit ribosomal RNA (bases 390-522)
CAUGUCUUUUUGAAAAUAAUAAAAAGUCUAAUCUGCCCACUGAAUUUAUUUAAAGGGCUGCAGUAUAUUGACUGUACAAAGGUAGCAUAAUCAAUAGUCUUUUAAUUGAAGACUUGUAUGAAUGAUUUGAUGAAAUAUGAACUGUCUCUUUUUUAAAAAUAAAAUUUAAUUUUUUAGUUAAAAAGCUAAAAUAAUUAUAAAAGACGAGAAGACCCUAUAGAGUUUUAUAGUUAUUUAAUUUAAAAAUUUUAUAUAUAAUUUAAAUUUAAAAUUAAUUAAUUAUUUUAUUGGGGUGAUAGAAAAAUUAAAAAAACUUUUUUUAAAAAUUUAACAUUAAUUUAUGAAAUUAUGAUCCAUAAUUUAUGAUUAAAAGAAUCAAUUACCUUAGGGAUAACAGCGUAAUUUUUUUUUUUAGUACAAAUAAGAAAAAGAGUUUGCGACCUCGAUGUUGGAUUAAGAUAAAAUUUAAAUGCAAAAGUUUAAAAUUUUUGAUCUGUUCGAUCAUUAAAAUCUUACAUGAUC